Molecule: ribosomal RNA, 468 nt
Filed under: uncultured bacterium
Lineage: Bacteria
Description: partial 16S ribosomal RNA
Rfam family: Bacterial small subunit ribosomal RNA
Source: RNAcentral
GACGAACGCUGGCGGCGUGCUUAACACAUGCAAGUCGAACGGAAAGGCCCUGCUUUUGUGGGGUGCUCGAGUGGCGAACGGGUGAGUAACACGUGAGUAACCUGCCCUUGACUUUGGGAUAACUUCAGGAAACUGGGGCUAAUACCGGAUAGGAGCUCCUGCUGCAUGGUGGGGGUUGGAAAGUUUCGGCGGUUGGGGAUGGACUCGCGGCUUAUCAGCUUGUUGGUGGGGUAGUGGCUUACCAAGGCUUUGACGGGUAGCCGGCCUGAGAGGGUGACCGGCCACAUUGGGACUGAGAUACGGCCAAGACUCCUACGGGAGGCAGCAGUGGGGAAUAUUGGACAAUGGGCGGAAGCCUGAUGCAGCAACGCCGCGUGCGGGAUGACGGCCUUCGGGUUGUAAACCGCUUUCGCCUGUGACGAAGCGUGAGUGACGGUAAUGGGUAAAGAAGCACCGGCUAACUACGUG